AUUGAACGCUGGCGGCAUGCCUUACACAUGCAAGUCGAACGGAAACAGGUCUUCGGAUGCUGACGAGUGGCGAACGGGGGAGUAAUACAUCGGAACGUGCCCGAUCGUGGGGGAUAACGAAGCGAAAGCUUUGCUAAUACCGCAUAAGAUCUAAGGAUGAAAGCAGGGGACCGCAAGGCCUUGCGCGAACGGAGCGGCCGAUGGCAGAUUAGGUAGUUGGUGGGAUAAAAGCUUACCAAGCCGACGAUCUGUAGCUGGUCUGAGAGGACGACCAGCCACACUGGGACUGAGACACGGCCCAGACUCCUACGGGAGGCAGCAGUGGGGAAUUUUGGACAAUGGGCGAAAGCCUGAUCCAGCCAUGCCGCGUGCAGGAUGAAGGCCUUCGGGCUGUAAACUGCUUUUGUACGGAACGAAAAGACUCUUUCUAAUAAAGAGGGUCCAUGACGGUACCGUAAGAAUAAGCACCGGCUAACUACGUGCCAGCAGCCGCAGUAA
This 498-nucleotide ribosomal RNA is filed under the name uncultured bacterium. RNAcentral describes it as "partial 16S ribosomal RNA". It matches the Rfam family "Bacterial small subunit ribosomal RNA", at positions 30 to 523 of the family's 1533-position model. The record is from RNAcentral.